UCUGAGAACGGUUCGACUCGACU
This 23-nucleotide microRNA is filed under the name Triops cancriformis. RNAcentral describes it as "tcf-miR-10316a". Lineage: Eukaryota; Metazoa; Arthropoda; Branchiopoda; Notostraca; Triopsidae. The record is from miRBase by way of RNAcentral.